UGGGGAAUAUUGGACAAUGGGCGAAAGCCUGAUCCAGCCAUGCCGCGUGUGUGAAGAAGGUCUUCGGAUUGUAAAGCACUUUAAGUUGGGAGGAAGGGCAGUAAGCGAAUACCUUGCUGUUUUGACGUUACCGACAGAAUAAGCACCGGCUAACUCUGUGCCAGCAGCCGCGGUAAUACAGAGGGUGCAAGCGUUAAUCGGAAUUACUGGGCGUAAAGCGCGCGUAGGUGGUUCGUUAAGUUGAAUGUGAAAGCCCCGGGCUCAACCUGGGAACUGCAUCCAAACCUGGCGAGCUAGAGUAGGGCAGAGGGUGGUGGAAUUUCCUGUGUAGCGGAGAAAUGCGUAGAUAUAGGAAGGAACACCAGUGGCGAAGGCGACCACCUGGGCUCAUACUGACACUGAGGUGCGAAAGCGUGGGGAGCAAACAGG
Molecule: ribosomal RNA, 429 nt
Filed under: Pseudomonadota bacterium
Lineage: Bacteria; Pseudomonadati; Pseudomonadota
Description: Proteobacteria bacterium partial 16S ribosomal RNA
Rfam family: Bacterial small subunit ribosomal RNA
Source: RNAcentral